GACGAACGCUGGCGGCGUGCUUAACACAUGCAAGUCGAACGGUGAAAGAAGUGCUUGCACUCCUGGAUCAGUGGCGAACGGGUGAGUAACACGUGAGUAACCUGCCCCUCACUCUGGGAUAAGCGCUGGAAACGGUGUCUAAUACUGGAUACGAGCAACACUUGCAUGGGUUGUGUGUGGAAAGUUUUUCGGUUUUGGAUGGACUCGCGGCCUAUCAGCUUGUUGGUGGGGUAACGGCCCACCAAGGCGACGACGGGUAGCCGGCCUGAGAGGGUGACCGGCCACACUGGGACUGAGACACGGCCCAGACUCCUACGGGAGGCAGCAGUGGGGAAUAUUGCACAAUGGGCGAAAGCCUGAUGCAGCGACGCCGCGUGAGGGAUGACGGCCUUCGGGUUGUAAACCUCUUUCAGCAGGGAAGAAGCGAAAGUGACGGUACCUGCAGAAGAAGCACCGGCUAACUACGUG
Molecule: ribosomal RNA, 468 nt
Filed under: uncultured bacterium
Lineage: Bacteria
Description: partial 16S ribosomal RNA
Rfam family: Bacterial small subunit ribosomal RNA
Source: RNAcentral